Molecule: ribosomal RNA, 490 nt
Filed under: uncultured bacterium
Lineage: Bacteria
Description: partial 16S ribosomal RNA
Rfam family: Bacterial small subunit ribosomal RNA
Source: RNAcentral
AUUGAACGCUGGCGGCAGGCCUAACACAUGCAAGUCGAACGGUAACAGGAAGAAGCUUGCUUCUUUGCUGACGAGUGGCGGACGGGUGAGGAAUGUCUGGGAAACUGCCUGAUGGAGGGGGAUAACUACUGGAAACGGUAGCUAAUACCGCAUAACGUCGCAAGACCAAAGAGGGGGACCUUCGGGCCUCUUGCCAUCGGAUGUGCCCAGAUGGGAUUAGCUAGUAGGUGGGGUAACGGCUCACCUAGGCGACGAUCCCUAGCUGGUCUGAGAGGAUGACCAGCCACACUGGAACUGAGACACGGUCCAGACUCCUACGGGAGGCAGCAGUGGGGAAUAUUGCACAAUGGGCGCAAGCCUGAUGCAGCCAUGCCGCGUGUAUGAAGAAGGCCUUCGGGUUGUAAAGUACUUUCAGCGGGGAGGAAGGGAGUAAAGUUAAUACCUUUACUCAUUGACGUUACCCGCAGAAGAAGCACCGGCUAACUCCGUG